GGCCGUGUAGCCUAAUGGAUAAGGCGUCGGAUUUCUGAUCCGAAAAUUGCGGGUUCAAGUCCCGUCAUGGUCG
Molecule: transfer RNA, 73 nt
Filed under: Drosophila melanogaster (fruit fly)
Lineage: Eukaryota; Metazoa; Arthropoda; Insecta; Diptera; Drosophilidae
Description: transfer RNA:Arginine-TCT 3-1 (Dmel_CR31946)
Rfam family: tRNA
About the family: Transfer RNA (tRNA) molecules are approximately 80 nucleotides in length. Their secondary structure includes four short double-helical elements and three loops (D, anti-codon, and T loops).
Source: Rfam by way of RNAcentral